GUCUAUAGAUACUGAUACUGCCUCUUGCGGGUAUACGUAUAUGAGAACUAUAUGCGUAUAGAAACACGCUUCCUCUUGCUCAUAAAUUUGCGUAUAGAAAAUUGGAAUGUAUCUAAAUCAAUGCUGUCCGAGUGACGCCCGACGUUGUUUACAAGUCCGGAUUUCUGUUCGCACGGAGUUUGCGGAGAUUUCAAGCAGAUUUCUGACUAAAAUGCUCAACUGUAUUAGUGCUAAACAUGGUCAUGACUCCUGGAAUUAUUUUGGAUUUACUGAGUAUGUCACAAUUUUCA
This is a non-coding RNA of Paramuricea clavata, 290 nucleotides long. The record is from the annotation of a GenBank genome assembly. NCBI's taxonomy places the organism in Eukaryota, Metazoa, Cnidaria, Anthozoa, Malacalcyonacea, Plexauridae.